RNAcentral lists this ribosomal RNA (263 nucleotides) under uncultured bacterium. Its description in RNAcentral is "partial 16S ribosomal RNA". It matches the Rfam family "Bacterial small subunit ribosomal RNA", at positions 91 to 354 of the family's 1533-position model. The record is from RNAcentral.
UUAAGUGGCGGACGGGUGAGUAACGCGUGGGUAACCUGCCGUAUACAGGGGGAUAACACUUAGAAAUAGGUGCUAAAACCGCAUAAGCGCACAGCGCCGCAUGGCGCAGUGUGAAAAACUCCGGUGGUAUACGAUGGACCCGCGUCUGAUUAGCCAGUUGGCAGGGUAACGGCCUACCAAAGCGACGAUCAGUAGCCGGCCUGAGAGGGUGGACGGCCACAUUGGGACUGAGACACGGCCCAAACUCCUACGGAAGGCAGCAG